CCCUUAGAUGUUCUGGGCUGCACGCGCGCUACACUGAAGCUAUCAACACGUUUUCCCUCCCUGAGAAGGGCGGGUAACCUUUUGAAUCAGCUUCGUGGUAGGGAUCGGGGCUUGCAAUUGUUCCCCGUGAACCAGGAAUUCCUAGUAGACGCGAGUCAUAAGCUCGCAUCGAUUAAGUCCCUGCCCUUUGUACACACCGCCCGUCGCUACUACCGAUUGAACGUUUUAGUGAGGCAUUUGGACCGACGCAUCUCAGUUUAACCGCUGGUUUGUGUUGAAAAGACUUCCAAACUUGAGCGUUUAGAGGAAGUAAAAGUCGUAACA
This 324-nucleotide ribosomal RNA is filed under the name uncultured eukaryote. RNAcentral describes it as "partial 18S ribosomal RNA". It matches the Rfam family "Eukaryotic small subunit ribosomal RNA", at positions 1470 to 1796 of the family's 1831-position model. The record is from RNAcentral.